GCGAACGGGUGAGUAACACGUAAGCAACCUACCCUAAAGACGAGGAUAACCAUUGGAAACAGUGGCUAAGACUGGAUAGGAAGAUAAAAGGCAUCUUUUAUCUUUUAAAAGACCUAGUAAUAGGUAUGCUUUAGGAGGGGCUUGCGCCAUAUUAGUUAGUUGGUAGGGUAAUGGCCUACCAAGACGAUGAUGUGUAGCUGGACUGAGAGGUUGAACAGCCACAUUGGGACUGAGACACGGCCCAAACUCCUACGGGAGGCAGCAGUAGGGAAUUUUCGGCAAUGGAGGAAACUCUGACCGAGCAACGCCGCGUGAAUGACGAAGUACUUCGGUAUGUAAAGUUCUUUUAUCAAGGAAGAAAAGCAAAUGGCGAACCAUUUGUUUGCCGGUACUUGAUGAAUAAGCCCCGGCUAAUUAUGUGCCAGCAGCCGCGGUAAGACAUAAGGGGCAAGUGUUAUCCGGAAUUAUUGGGCGUAAAGGGUGCGUAGGCGGUCUAGUAAGUCAGUGGUGUAAUGGCAACGCUUAACGUUGUCCGGCUAUUGAAACUGCUAAACUUGAGUUAGAUAGAGGCGAGUGGAAUUCCAUGUGUAGCGGUAAAAUGCGUAAAUAUAUGGAGGAACACCAGAGGCGUAGGCGGCUCGCUGGGUCUUAACUGACGCUGAGGCACGAAAGCGUGGGGAGCAAACAGGAUUAGAUACCCUGGUAGUCCACGCCGUAAACGAUGAGUACUAAGUGUCGGGUUAAACCGGUACUGAAGUUAACACAUUAAGUACUCCGCCUGAGUAGUACGUACGCAAGUAUGAAACUUAAAGGAAUUGACGGGACUCCGCACAAGCGGUGGAUCAUGUUGUUUAAUUCGAAGAUACCCGAAAAACCUUACCAGGUCUUGACAUGUUUUUGCAAAAUGAUAGUAAUAUCGUGGAGGUUACCAGAAACACAGGUGGUGCAUGGUUGUCGUCAGCUCGUGUCGUGAGAUGUUAGGUUAAGUCCUAAAACGAGCGAAACCCUUAUCGUUAGUUGCCAGCACGUUAUGGUGGGGACUUUAACGAGACUGCCAAUGAUAAAUUGGAGGAAGGUGAGGAUCACGUCAAAUCAGCAUGCCCCUUAUGACCUGGGCUACAAACGUGAUACAAUGGCUGUUACAAAGGGUAGCUGAAACGCAAGUUCUUGGCCAAUCCCCAAAAACAGUCCCAGUCCGGAUUGAAGUCUGCAACUCGACUUCAUGAAGUUGGAAUCGCUAGUAAUCGCGAAUCAGCAUGUCGCGGUGAAUACGUUCUCGGGGUUUGUACACACCGCCCGUCAAACCACGAAAGUUGGCAAUACCCCAAAACGGUAGCCUAACUCGUUUAUUCGAGAGGGCGCCGUCUAAGGUAGGGUCGAUGAUUGGGGUUAAGUCGUAACAAGGUAUCCCUACCGGAAGGUGGGGAUGGAUCACCUCC
RNAcentral lists this ribosomal RNA (1439 nucleotides) under 'Bambusa bambos' phytoplasma. RNAcentral's name for it is "bacterial SSU rRNA". It matches the Rfam family "Bacterial small subunit ribosomal RNA". Lineage: Bacteria; Bacillati; Mycoplasmatota; Mollicutes; Acholeplasmatales; Acholeplasmataceae. The record is from RNAcentral.